Molecule: ribosomal RNA, 317 nt
Filed under: uncultured eukaryote
Lineage: Eukaryota
Description: partial large subunit ribosomal RNA
Rfam family: Eukaryotic large subunit ribosomal RNA
Source: RNAcentral
AUAUCAGUAAGCGGAGGAAAAGAAACUAACAAGGAUUCCCGUAGUAACGGCGAGUGAACUGGGAAAAGUCCAGCGCUAAAUCGUGGUGCUCUCACGGGUGCCAUGAAGUGUAGCGUAUAGGCGGGGUAUGCUCAGCAUUAUUGGAUGGUUUAAAUCUCCCUUGACUGGGGUUCCACAGAAGGUGCAAGACCUGUUCAACCGUCCGGUGGUGUUGAUUGUGCUGUCUUGGAGUCGGGUUGUUUGGGAACGCAGCCCAAAGUAGGUCGUAAACUUGAUCUAAGGCUACAUACAGCUACGAGACCGAUAGCGCACAAGUA